AUUUGUAUAGUUUAUAAAAACAUUAUAUUUUCAAUAUAAAAAUGAAAUUUAACAUUUCUAUAAAUU
Molecule: transfer RNA, 66 nt
Filed under: Cucujoidea sp. 21 KM-2017
Lineage: Eukaryota; Metazoa; Arthropoda; Insecta; Coleoptera
Description: tRNA-Glu
Source: RNAcentral